UUAAGCGACUAAGCGUACACGGUGGAUGCCCUGGCAGUCAGAGGCGAUGAAGGACGUGCUAAUCUGCGAUAAGCGUCGGUAAGGUGAUAUGAACCGUUAUAACCGGCGAUUUCCGAAUGGGGAAACCCAGUGUGUUUCGACACACUAUCAUUAACUGAAUCCAUAGGUUAAUGAGGCGAACCGGGGGAACUGAAACAUCUAAGUACCCCGAGGAAAAGAAAUCAACCGAGAUUCCCCCCAGUAGCGGCGAGCGAACGGGGAGCAGCCCAGAGCCUGAAUCAGUAUGUGUGUUAGUGGAAGCGUCUGGAAAGGCGCGCGAUACGAGGGUGACACGCCCCGUACAACAAAAAUGCACAUGCUGUGAGCUCGAUGAGGUAGGGCGGGACACGUGGUAUCCUGUCUGAAUAUGGGGGGACCAUCCUCCAAGGCUAAAUACUCCUGACUGACCGAUAGUGAACCAGUACCGUGAGGGAAAGGCGAAAAGAACCCCGGCGAGGGGAGUGAAAAAGAACCUGAAACCGUGUACGUACAAGCAGUGGGAGCUCGCUUAGGCGUGUGACUGCGUACCUUUUGUAUAAUGGGUCAGCGACUUAUAUUCUGUAGCAAGGUUAACCGAAUAGGGGAGCCGAAGGGAAACCGAGUCUUAACUGGGCGUUAAGUUGCAGGGUAUAGACCCGAAACCCGGUGAUCUAGCCAUGGGCAGGUUGAAGGUUGGGUAACACUAACUGGAGGACCGAACCGACUAAUGUUGAAAAAUUAGCGGAUGACUUGUGGCUGGGGGUGAAAGGCCAAUCAAACCGGGAGAUAGCUGGUUCUCCCCGAAAGCUAUUUAGGUAGCGCCUCGUGAAUUCAUCUCCGGAGGUAGAGCACUGUUUCGGCAAGGGGGUCAUCCCGACUUACCAACCCGAUGCAAACUGCGAAUACCGGAGAAUGUUAUCACGGGAGACACACGGCGGGUGCUAACGUCCGUCGUGAAGAGGGAAACAACCCAGACCGCCAGCUAAGGUCCCAAAGUCAUGGUUAAGUGGGAAACGAUGUGGGAAGGCCCAGACAGCCAGGAUGUUGGCUUAGAAGCAGCCAUCAUUUAAAGAAAGCGUAAUAGCUCACUGGUCGAGUCGGCCUGCGCGGAAGAUGUAACGGGGCUAAACCAUGCACCGAAGCUGCGGCAGCGACGCUUAUGCGUUGUUGGGUAGGGGAGCGUUCUGUAAGCCUGCGAAGGUGUGCUGUGAGGCAUGCUGGAGGUAUCAGAAGUGCGAAUGCUGACAUAAGUAACGAUAAAGCGGGUGAAAAGCCCGCUCGCCGGAAGACCAAGGGUUCCUGUCCAACGUUAAUCGGGGCAGGGUGAGUCGACCCCUAAGGCGAGGCCGAAAGGCGUAGUCGAUGGGAAACAGGUUAAUAUUCCUGUACUUGGUGUUACUGCGAAGGGGGGACGAGAAGGCUAUGUUGGCCGGGCGACGGUUGUCCCGGUUUAAGCGUGUAGGCUGGUUUUCCAGGCAAAUCCGGAAAAUCAAGGCUGAGGCGUGAUGACGAGGCACUACGGUGCUGAAGCAACAAAUGCCCUGCUUCCAGGAAAAGCCUCUAAGCAUCAGGUAACAUCAAAUCGUACCCCAAACCGACACAGGUGGUCAGGUAGAGAAUACCAAGGCGCUUGAGAGAACUCGGGUGAAGGAACUAGGCAAAAUGGUGCCGUAACUUCGGGAGAAGGCACGCUGAUAUGUAGGUGAAGUCCCUCGCGGAUGGAGCUGAAAUCAGUCGAAGAUACCAGCUGGCUGCAACUGUUUAUUAAAAACACAGCACUGUGCAAACACGAAAGUGGACGUAUACGGUGUGACGCCUGCCCGGUGCCGGAAGGUUAAUUGAUGGGGUUAGCGCAAGCGAAGCUCUUGAUCGAAGCCCCGGUAAACGGCGGCCGUAACUAUAACGGUCCUAAGGUAGCGAAAUUCCUUGUCGGGUAAGUUCCGACCUGCACGAAUGGCGUAAUGAUGGCCAGGCUGUCUCCACCCGAGACUCAGUGAAAUUGAACUCGCUGUGAAGAUGCAGUGUACCCGCGGCAAGACGGAAAGACCCCGUGAACCUUUACUAUAGCUUGACACUGAACAUUGAGCCUUGAUGUGUAGGAUAGGUGGGAGGCUUUGAAGUGUGGACGCCAGUCUGCAUGGAGCCGACCUUGAAAUACCACCCUUUAAUGUUUGAUGUUCUAACGUUGACCCGUAAUCCGGGUUGCGGACAGUGUCUGGUGGGUAGUUUGACUGGGGCGGUCUCCUCCUAAAGAGUAACGGAGGAGCACGAAGGUUGGCUAAUCCUGGUCGGACAUCAGGAGGUUAGUGCAAUGGCAUAAGCCAGCUUGACUGCGAGCGUGACGGCGCGAGCAGGUGCGAAAGCAGGUCAUAGUGAUCCGGUGGUUCUGAAUGGAAGGGCCAUCGCUCAACGGAUAAAAGGUACUCCGGGGAUAACAGGCUGAUACCGCCCAAGAGUUCAUAUCGACGGCGGUGUUUGGCACCUCGAUGUCGGCUCAUCACAUCCUGGGGCUGAAGUAGGUCCCAAGGGUAUGGCUGUUCGCCAUUUAAAGUGGUACGCGAGCUGGGUUUAGAACGUCGUGAGACAGUUCGGUCCCUAUCUGCCGUGGGCGCUGGAGAACUGAGGGGGGCUGCUCCUAGUACGAGAGGACCGGAGUGGACGCAUCACUGGUGUUCGGGUUGUCAUGCCAAUGGCACUGCCCGGUAGCUAAAUGCGGAAGAGAUAAGUGCUGAAAGCAUCUAAGCACGAAACUUGCCCCGAGAUGAGUUCUCCCUGACUCCUUGAGAGUCCUGAAGGAACGUUGAAGACGACGACGUUGAUAGGCCGGGUGUGUAAGCGCAGCGAUGCGUUGAGCUAACCGGUACUAAUGAACCGUGAGGCUUAACCUU
Molecule: ribosomal RNA, 2906 nt
Filed under: Escherichia coli DEC9D
Lineage: Bacteria; Pseudomonadati; Pseudomonadota; Gammaproteobacteria; Enterobacterales; Enterobacteriaceae
Description: bacterial LSU rRNA
Rfam family: Bacterial large subunit ribosomal RNA
Source: RNAcentral